This 478-nucleotide ribosomal RNA is filed under the name uncultured bacterium. Its description in RNAcentral is "partial 16S ribosomal RNA". It matches the Rfam family "Bacterial small subunit ribosomal RNA", at positions 28 to 523 of the family's 1533-position model. The record is from RNAcentral.
GACGAACGCUGGCGGCGUGCUUAACACAUGCAAGUCGAACGGUAAGGCCCUUCGGGGUACACGAGUGGCGAACGGGUGAGUAACACGUGGGUGAUCUGCCCUGCACUUCGGGAUAAGCCUGGGAAACUGGGUCUAAUACCGGAUAGGACCAUUGCCUGCAUGGGUGGUGGUGGAAAGCUUUUGCGGUGUGGGAUGGGCCCGCGGCCUAUCAGCUUGUUGGUGGGGUGAUGGCCUACCAAGGCGACGACGGGUAGCCGGCCUGAGAGGGUGACCGGUCACACUGGGACUGAGAUACGGCCCAGACUCCUACGGGAGGCAGCAGUGGGGAAUAUUGCACAAUGGGCGCAAGCCUGAUGCAGCGACGCCGCGUGAGGGACGACGGCCUUCGGGUUGUAAACUUCUUUCAGCUAUGACGAAGCGCAAGUGACGGUAGUAGCAGAAGAAGGACCGGCCAACUACGUGCCAGCAGCCGCAGUAA